GGUUCCGUGGUGACCUGCGGAAGGAUCAUUAUUGAAUUACCGGGGGCUGGAUGCUGGCAGUCUAUGAUUGCAUGUGCUCGCUCUCUUUAAUCCACUUACACAUGUGCACUCAAUUUUGAAGACAGGGUAAAGCCUGUCUUUGAAACCUUAUAAACUCUUACUCGAUUGUAAUGAAUGUUUUUAUCUGCCGAAAGGCAAAAUUUAAUACAACUUUUAACAACGGAUCUCUUGGCUCUCGCAUCGAUGAAGAACGCAGCGAAAUGCGAUAAGUAAUGUGAAUUGCAGAAUUCAGUGAAUCAUCGAAUCUUUGAACGCACCUUGCACUCUCUGGUAUUCCGGAGAGUACGCCUGUUCGAGUGUUGUGAAACUCUCAAGCAGAGAUAGCUUUGUUGCUGUUUUUGCUUGGAUUUGGACUUUGCUGUGUCAAUGCGGCUGGUCUUAAAUGUAUUAGCUGAUCCUUAUGUGGUUUGGUUCUACUCAGCGUGAUAAUUAUCUAGCGUUGAGGACAGUCUUAGGACUGGCCAGAGCUUAUAU
Molecule: ribosomal RNA, 534 nt
Filed under: uncultured Agaricomycetes
Lineage: Eukaryota; Fungi; Basidiomycota; Agaricomycetes
Description: eukaryotic LSU rRNA
Rfam family: 5.8S ribosomal RNA (bases 209-362)
Source: RNAcentral